Molecule: ribosomal RNA, 516 nt
Filed under: uncultured bacterium
Lineage: Bacteria
Description: bacterial SSU rRNA
Rfam family: Bacterial small subunit ribosomal RNA
Source: RNAcentral
AGUUUGAUCCUGGCUCAGAAUGAACGCUGGCGGCAGGCCUAACACAUGCAAGUCGAACGGAAACGACAAGAACAAACUCUUCGGAGGGCGAUCUUGGGCGUCGAGUGGCGGACGGGUGAGUAACGCGUGGGAAUCUACCCUUUAGUUGGGGACAACAUAUGGAAACGUAGUCGCUAAUAUCGGCUAGCUGUGACGUUAACUUUAGAAGAAGCACCGGCUAACUCUGUGCCAGCAGCCGCGGUAAUACAAAGGGUGCAAGCGUUAUUCGGAAUUACUGGGCGUAAAGCGCGCGUAGGCGGGCUGUUAAGUCGGUUGUGAAAGCCCUGGGCUCAACCUAGGAAUUGCAUCCGAUGCUGGCAAUCUAGAGUUUAGGAGAGGGAAGUGGAAUUCCUGGUGUAGCAGUGAAAUGCGUAGAUAUCAGGAGGAACAUCAGUGGCGAAGGCGACUUCCUGGCCUAAAACUGACGCUGAGGUGCGAAAGCGUGGGUAGCGAACGGGAUUAGAUACCCUGGUAGUC